UGUGUAGGUGGUAUUAAGUUCUGUAUUAAUAAAAACACAAUUUUAAUGUAUGUUAUACAGUAAUAUAAUACUUGAGUAUAUUAUGCGAUAAGAGAACUUUUAAUGGAGCGAUAAAAUGCUAAAAUAUUAAAGGGAAUACCGAAGGCGAAAGCAAUUAUCAUAUAUAUACUGACACUGAGACACGAAGGCAUGGGUAUCAAACA
This 203-nucleotide ribosomal RNA is filed under the name uncultured bacterium. RNAcentral describes it as "partial 16S ribosomal RNA". It matches the Rfam family "Bacterial small subunit ribosomal RNA", at positions 568 to 774 of the family's 1533-position model. The record is from RNAcentral.